GAUGAAAGAGGGUGGCGUGCUUAACACAUGCAAGUCGAACGAAGCACUUUAUUUGAUUUCCUUCGGGACUGAUUAUUUUGUGACUGAGUGGCGGACGGGUGAGUAACGCGUGGGUAACCUGCCUUGUACAGGGGGAUAACAGUUGGAAACGGCUGCUAAUACCGCAUAAGCGCACGGCAUCGCAUGAUGCAGUGUGAAAAACUCCGGUGGUAUAAGAUGGACCCGCGUUGGAUUAGCUAGUUGGUGAGGUAACGGCCCACCAAGGCGACGAUCCAUAGCCGACCUGAGAGGGUGACCGGCCACAUUGGGACUGAGACACGGCCCAAACUCCUACGGGAGGCAGCAGUGGGGAAUAUUGCACAAUGGGCGAAAGCCUGAUGCAGCGACGCCGCGUGAGCGAAGAAGUAUUUCGGUAUGUAAAGCUCUAUCAGCAGGGAAGAUAAUGACGGUACCUGACUAAGAAGCACCGGCUAAAUACGUG
This 481-nucleotide ribosomal RNA is filed under the name uncultured bacterium. RNAcentral describes it as "partial 16S ribosomal RNA". It matches the Rfam family "Bacterial small subunit ribosomal RNA", at positions 28 to 507 of the family's 1533-position model. The record is from RNAcentral.